CCCGCAAGGGCAACCGGCGAACGGGUGCGUAACACGUGAGCGACCUGCCUGAGUGCGGGGGAUAGCCGGCCCAACGGCCGGGUAAUACCGCAUACGCUUGUUUGAGGGCAUCCUUGGACAAGGAAACCUCCGGGGCACUCAGAGGGGCUCGCGGCCUAUCAGCUAGUUGGCGGGGUAAUGGCCCACCAAGGCGACGACGGGUAGCUGGUCUGAGAGGAUGGCCAGCCACAUUGGGACUGAGAGACGGCCCAGACUCCUACGGGAGGCAGCAGUGGGGAAUCUUGCGCAAUGGCCGAAAGGCUGACGCAGCGACGCCGCGUGUGGGAGGAAGCUCUUCGGGGUGUAAACCACUGUUGCCCGGGACGAAUAGCGAGUUUCGACUCGCCUGACGGUACCGGGUGAGGAAGCACCGGCUAACUCUGUGCCAGCAGCCGCGGUAAUACAGAGGGUGCGAGCGUUGUCCGGAAUCACUGGGCGUAAAGGGCGCGUAGGCGGCUUGAUAAGGUUGCGGUGAAAGCCCGGGGCUCAACCCCGGGUCGGCCGUGGCAACUGUCGAGCUGGAGCACUGUAGAGGCAGGUGGAAUUCCGGGUGUAGCGGUGGAAUGCGUANAGAUCCGGAAGAACACCGGUGGCGAAGGCGGCCUGCUGGGCAGUGGCUGACGCUGAGGCGCGACAGCGUGGGGAGCAAACAGGAUUAGAUACCCUGGUAGUCCACGCCGUAAACGAUGGGCACUAGGUGCUUGGGGGAGCGACCCUCCGAGUGCCGGCGCUAACGCAUUAAGUGCCCCGCCUGGGGAGUACGG
This 803-nucleotide ribosomal RNA is filed under the name uncultured Gemmatimonadales bacterium. RNAcentral's name for it is "bacterial SSU rRNA". It matches the Rfam family "Bacterial small subunit ribosomal RNA", at positions 82 to 885 of the family's 1533-position model. The record is from RNAcentral. Lineage: Bacteria; Pseudomonadati; Gemmatimonadota; Gemmatimonadia; Gemmatimonadales.